This 301-nucleotide ribosomal RNA is filed under the name uncultured bacterium. RNAcentral describes it as "partial 16S ribosomal RNA". It matches the Rfam family "Bacterial small subunit ribosomal RNA", at positions 509 to 807 of the family's 1533-position model. The record is from RNAcentral.
CAGUCGCCGCGGUAACACGAAGGUCCCGAGCGUUGUUCGGAAUCACUGGGCGUAAAGGGAGCGUAGGCGGCGUGGUAAGUCUGUUGUGAAAUCCCCGGGCUCAACCUGGGAAUGGCAAUGGAUACUGGCAAGCUAGAGUGUGUCAGAGGAUGGUGGAAUUCCCGGUGUAACGGUGAAAUGCGUAGAGAUCGGGAGGAACAUCAGUGGCGAAGGCGGCCAUCUGGGACAACACUGACGCUGAGGCACGAAAGCGUGGGGAGCAAACAGGAUUAGAUACCCCCGUAGUCCCUGUCUCUUAUAC